CACAGAUCACCUCAGAUCAGGCGAGACUACCCGCUGAAUUUAAGCAUAUUACUAAGCGGAGGAAAAGAAACUAACAAGGAUUCCCUCAGUAGCGGCGAGCGAAGAGGAGAGCCCAGCGCCGAAUCCCCGUCCCCUCCAGCCGGGGCGAGGGAACUGUGGCGUAAAGAAGACCGCUCUCUCUCGGCGCGGGCCGGGGGUCUAAGUCCUUCUGAUGGAGGCUUAGCCCGCGGACGGUGUGAGGCCGGUAAAGGCCCCCGCCGCCGGGGUACGGUUCUUCUCGGAGUCGGGUUGUUUGUGAAUGCAGCCCAAAGCGGGUUGUAAACUCCAUCUAAGGCUAAAUACCGGCACGAGACCGAUAGCGGACAAGUACCGUGAGGGAAAGUU
RNAcentral lists this ribosomal RNA (384 nucleotides) under Tinca tinca (tench). RNAcentral describes it as "eukaryotic LSU rRNA". It matches the Rfam family "Eukaryotic large subunit ribosomal RNA", at positions 1 to 365 of the family's 3401-position model. The record is from RNAcentral. Lineage: Eukaryota; Metazoa; Chordata; Actinopteri; Cypriniformes; Tincidae.